AGUGAACGCUGGCGGUAGGCCUAACACAUGCAAGUCGAACGGCAGCACAGUAAGAGCUUGCUCUUACGGGUGGCGAGUGGCGGACGGGUGAGGAAUACAUCGGCAUCUACUUUUUCGUGGGGGAUAACGUAGGGAAACUUACGCUAAUACCGCAUACGACCUACGGGUGAAAGCAGGGGAUCUUCGGACCUUGCGCGAUUGAAUGAGCCGAUGUCGGAUUAGCUAGUUGGCGGGGUAAAGGCCCACCAAGGCGACGAUCCGUAGCUGGUCUGAGAGGAUGAUCAGCCACACUGGAACUGAGACACGGUCCAGACUCCUACGGGAGGCAGCAGUGGGGAAUAUUGGACAAUGGGCGCAAGCCUGAUCCAGCCAUACCGCGUGGGUGAAGAAGGUCUUCGGGUUGUAAAGCCCUUUUGUUGGGAAAGAAAAGCAGCAGGUUAAUACCCCGCUGUUCUGACGGUACCCAAAGAAUAAGCACCGGCUAACUUCGUG
Molecule: ribosomal RNA, 492 nt
Filed under: uncultured bacterium
Lineage: Bacteria
Description: partial 16S ribosomal RNA
Rfam family: Bacterial small subunit ribosomal RNA
Source: RNAcentral